AAGACGGUUAUCUUUAUCGCGCCGAUUUUGCCCAAUGCAUAGGUAUGAGAGAUUCCAGGGAGUUUGCUCUUGAACUCUUCGAUGCAUUGGGUAGGAGACGGAGAUUGAAAGUGGACAAGAUUAACAGAGACGAGCUUUACGAGUUUUGGUCACAAAUCACCGAUCAAAGCUUCGAUUCUCGUCUCCAGAUCUUCUUCGACAUGGUGGAC
This 209-nucleotide unclassified non-coding RNA is filed under the name Hevea brasiliensis (rubber tree). Lineage: Eukaryota; Viridiplantae; Streptophyta; Magnoliopsida; Malpighiales; Euphorbiaceae. The record is from RNAcentral.